UCCAGUUGUUGUUCCAGCUCGCAUACCGUUCCCGUUGGCUCCUGGGAGUCAGAGGCUCCGCUCUGGCCCGCCCGUCAGUGCCGCCCCGAGUGUGUUCGCGCUAGGAGCGUUCUCUCGCGCUCUCGCCAAGGGUGACGAGUUGUUUCUCCAUCCGCACUGAUCCAGUUUUCAUGUCAGUACGAACAGGAGAAUGAUGUGUUAGUGUAGUUGUGUUGAUUUUUCAGAAGGUGCUACUGAUAAAUCCAAAACAAGGAAAAAAAAGAAAAAAAAGAAAGAAAGAAAGACAGAGGAUGAAAGAAAGCUUAUCUAAUCACUGGUGAAUGUGCUUUCCUUAAGUGAUGAUGAAUUAUGAGGAGGAUGUGAUUUCCUGUUGAUUUCCUCAUUUUCUCCUUACUGUAUUUGUGGGAUUGUGACUGAAGUGAAGUAGUAACUAUGCCUUCUGACUGAGAGAAGCAUAGAGAGAGAGAGAGAGAGCUGAAGAUGCUAUCAAAAGUGAGUGACAUGGUGGAUGCCAGAUCAAGAGGAGGAUAAAACAGCAGUGGAAUCAAGUUCUGUAGGGCUUGGUUGACAAGAUGCCAUCCUUGCUAGCUUGUUUCGUGUGUGGUGGGAAGGGGGAGAGUGACGAUGUGCGUGUACUCGAUUACCGUCACUCUGCUCUCCAUGAUGUGCCUGCGGAUGUGUUUGCCUCAGAACGCACAUUGGAGGAGCUGCUCUUGGAUUCAAAUCAGCUGACUGAGUUACCUCGUCAACUGUUCUACUGCCACGGCUUAAGGGAGCUUGGGUUGAGCGACAAUGAAUUGACUUCCCUUCCACCGGCUGUGGCAUCCCUCAUUAAUCUCACUUCCAUAGAUCUCAGCAAAAAUGCCAUAUCAGACAUCCCAGACAAUAUUAAAGGCUGCAAGCAACUUGCUGUGGUGGACGCCAGCAUCAACCCCCUUUGCCGCCUACCAGAGGGUUUCACACAGCUGCUUUCUCUUCAAGAACUUUAUCUGAAUGACACUUUCUUGGAAUAUCUCCCUGCUAACUUUGGCCGAUUGUCCAAGCUGAAGAUCCUGGAGUUAAGGGAAAACCAAUUGAAUACGUUGCCAAAGUCCAUUGCACGUCUCACUAACCUGCAGCGCUUGGACAUUGGGCAGAAUGACUUCUCUGAAUUGCCCGAGGUGAUUGGCAGCCUGGGUAAUUUGACUGAGCUCUUGUUUGACAAUAAUAAAGUGAAGUCGCUCCCACCCAUGAUGGGAAAAUUGAAGAAACUGCUUCAUGUUGAUGCAUCAAAAAAUAAGAUAGACUGGGUCUCAGGAGAGCUGGAAAACUGUGUUGUCCUUACAGAUCUUCAUCUCUCAUCCAAUAAUCUUAAGGAACUGCCCGAGAGCCUGGGAGGCUGCAGCCAAUUGCAACUUUUGCGGCUGGAUGACAAUGCUCUAACUCAUCUACCUGAGUCUCUAGGUGGUUUGGCAGCCCUAGAGGAGCUAGUUGUUACCCAGAAUGACCUGGAGACUUUGCCAGCUUCAAUUGGGCUUCUUCGUGCUCUGCAUACACUCCAUGUGGAUGAUAAUCUUCUUACAGAGUUGCCACCAGAAAUUGGUUCCUGCAUUCAGUUGACAGUGCUUACAGCUGCAUCAAAUAGACUGACGAGUGUUCCUGCUGAACUGGGUCACCUUCCAAAGUUGGCAGUUCUAAAUCUCUGUGAUAAUUUGAUUCCUCAUUUGCCUGUAUCACUUACUAAGCUGAAGCUAAGAGCUUUGUGGCUUUCGGAAAAUCAGAACAAGCCACAGGUUCAGCUGCAGUCAGACACACUGCCAGAGACAGGACAGCGUGUUUUGACAUGCUUUAUGCUCCCGCAACAAGUUCGCUCUCAUCAACCAGAGAUGGUGGUUGAGACGGACACCUUCCCAGGCCAAGGCUGGGAUGAGCAGAGGAGAGCAAAGACACUCAUUAAGUUUGCCUUUGACGGUGAUGUAGACAAACCUGGCCGCUUGACACGAGCCCCAACACCCUACCCCAAAGAACUCAAGGCACUGGCCAAGCAUGCUCGCAACUUGCACAGCUUACAGAAGGACCCCUCACGACAAUUUGUGCUUGGUCGAUCUGAGGAUGCUGGCAGGGCAUCAUCUCCCACCCAGCCUGCCAAGGAGGACAGUGAUGCAGCUUCGGGAAGGCGGGACUCAGAUAGUGCACUGAAGCAGCCACUGAUAGAGCGCACGGCAAAGUCUGGUGCUCCUUUAGACGAUUCUGGGGAUGCUGAGGACGCUAGUAUACCACUGACUGUUGUAGAGCCACAGGUGGAUGAACGGCCUCAGUUGCGGGAAGCUCGCAAUGUGCGCAAGAGUUCAAACCCUGAUGCCAGCUCUAGUGUGUCUAUUGCACCAAAGAGCUUGAAUUCGAAUGGUACAAGUUCCAGUGGGGCUGACCUGCCCUAUACUAUUGGGGAUAGGAAAUUGUUUGGCCAUGCUCAGGUUAUUGCCAUGAAGGCUCCUGGUGACACAAGUGCUGCAACCAAAAACACGACCAGUUCAGCAGAAGAAAACGGGACCCCACAGCACCCUGCUGUGUCAUCUGAGGGGUCUGGACCUGUGGAAGGAGAACAGGGAGGUGACACCCCUGACAAGCGCAUCAAAAAGCCUCCGCCCUACCAUAUUGCUGCCGUCAUGUCAAGGCACGCAGCGGACUUCCAAGAAGCGAGUGUUGAGGUGUCGUCAUCGCAGGGAACAAAUGCACAGGGAGGGGCUGGCUUGACUGUUAAGGAUCUGCCAGGCUCACAGCAGGCAUUAGCUGUUACAUCACCUACCACUGCCAUUGGGGAGGACGAAAACAAUGACACUAGUAGUUCCAGUGACAGUGGUUAUGGCAAUGGGAAAUCAUCAAGUCAACAAACUGCCGAAGAACAGCAGUGCAGUGACUCCUGUUCAAACUCACCAUCCUCACCGCAGAAUCUAACUGAUUCCAGCAUCACUAUGCCCUCCACACCCACCUCACCUUUAGGGAGUGCAGGAUCUGCUGCACCUUCCUCAAAAUCCUUUGUGGUUGCCACUUCCACGAGGCCUCCAAGUGCUCAUUUAUCACCCAUAACCACCACAGGAUCUCUUCCAUCAGACCGCCACUCAUACGCUGCGCCACAGAAUAGCUCCUCGCCACUUGUUCAAGCCUCUAUGGGACAGCAUAUAUAUUCCUCGGGCCAUUUGUCGUAUUCACAAAAAAUGCAGACCAGCACUACUAUGACUAAUGCUCGCCCGGCCUCCAUCGCAGCAGGGCAGCAGUUGGAGAACCAGAGCAGUGGCUCUGUCCAACGGCCUGGGUCUCUGGCUCUUGGCACGCUGGCAGACUCGGCACUCCUCAACCGGCUGCCUAGAGACCACCGACCAGGGUCUCUUGCAGCGCCCAUCAACACUGUUGGCAUCCCGCCUGCUCCAACAAGGGCUAUGUCUCACAUGGGAUUGAAUGUCUCUAGUCCAACAAGGGCACGUGAUCCCACCAUGUUCAGAAGCCAGGAUUUGUCACGAGCUGGACGUGGACUUUCAUUGGCAGAGGACCGUUUCAGUGGAUCAGCUAGUGCUCGUCAGGAGAGCAAUGGUCUCGUCUCCAUCAUUGACCAGGUAACAAGCAGUUUGCUGGAACAUGGCGAUAGUCCCCCACCCAAGACUCCUGUGACCCCUAGUGCUCCUUCUUCCACUUUUCCUACAACUUCACCCACAACAGCAACACCUUCAUCACAGUAUCCAGCUUCCAAGUUGGCAGGAACCCAAGUCACUGCUGAUAGGAUACCCUUAUCAGCCUCUGACAGUACAACCACUUCAGAGUCCUAUGUGACAAGUGAUACAAGUGGCAGAUCCUCCCUUUCCUAUCAUCGUGGUGCAGGUUCUUCCCUGACAAGUAGUGGUGGACUCACCAACUUCACUCAAGACCAGCCUCGGGGUGAGGUUUUGCAUCCAACUCCACACCGACCACAUGUUAUCUCUCCUUCGGGCUCCAGACAUGGAUUAGAUUCUCUGCAAGACUCCAGUGUGGGUACUCCAGAUAAGUUAGGGAGGCCCCAUGAAGCAAUGGGAGUCCCUCAGCAUAUUGAGACUGGCACUUCCCCUCCUAGAACUGCACCUAAACCACAGUCAAGAAUCCCAGCACUUAGUCCUGAGAGUUACCCGGGUAAGGUGAAUCAUAAAACAAGCUUCGACUCUCAUGCUAGUCACAGUCCUGCUCAGAUGACAGAAUCUCGCAUACCCAGUUUAGGCAGCGUUGGACGAUCUCCAAGUAACUUUACCAGUGAAAGAGCAAGUGAGAGUCAUACCUUGCCAGAGUCAAGAAUACCAACCCUUGGUGCCAUGGGAAGAAGUCCAAGCAGUCUUAAUAAUGAAAAUAAGGCAGAAAGUAGAAUUCCAACCCUAAAUAACAUGGGACAUAGUUCCUCCAACUUACUACCUGAUAAGCAGACACCAGGAGAAUCAAGAAUACCAACUCUUGGAAGUACUGGCCGAAGUCAAAGCAACCUUGGUCAUGAAACACCAACUACACCUGACUCUCGUAUUCCAACACUUGGUGCAGUGGGUAGAACAUCUAGUAACUUGACUCGUGAAUCAGUUGGGUUAAAAAAGCCUGCCAACUCACAUGAAGGAAUUACAAAACCUGCAACAAAUCUUCACACUCCACAGCAGCAAAGAACAGUUGGGAUGAAUGGAUCAGGCAUUCCAAGUUUAGGCUCGCAGGGGAGAAGCAAUAGCAGCAUAGGAUCAGGCAUCCCAAGCCCAAGCCCAGCUUCCACAGGGUUAAGAACCGGCAUCCCCAAACAUGAUGCAACCGAUGGGCUAACCAAGAAAUCACUGGGAUAUGGAGGAACAAGCCAGGUGUCCUCCACGUCUCGUCUCCAGUCUCCAAGUUAUUCAAGUGGUAUUCGGCCUCCUACUUAUUCAUCAGCUAGUCCUUUGCCCAGUCCGACACAGCACCCAUCAGGCAAUUUUGCUCAGUCCCCAAGUUAUUCAUCUGGCAUACGACCACCCUCAGUCAAUUCAGCGAUUAACACCCCAGGCAUCCCACUCCCUUCUUCAGGAUCUUCAAGCCACCUGACUAACCCUGGGUCACGAGGCUCUAUCACAUCAACAGGGUCUGGGACUCGCAUUCCAAUGGUUGCAGGAGGUUCUACAUCGAGACUCCCUGCUCCUAGUGCCAACAAGCACCGUGUGUCUCCAUCAGCACAAAAUGCAGAUAACAAGACAAACAAUUCAGCAUGGAUGUUUGGCCAGCACAAAAAUGCCCGUGUGGUAUGUCAGAAUUCCAGGAAGGUCUGGGUUCCUGAACGAAGAGUGUCCAAGUUUCACCUCAAAUGUUCCCGGUAGUGAUAGAGAAAAAUCCAGGCCUUGGCUUUACGAUUGGGCUGUCCGAUGCUGAUGCGGAAGAUAAGAGUAUAUAUGUGAUGAGUGUCGCAGGAGGGGGUGCAGCUUCUUCGGCCCUCAAGGUGGGGGACAAGCUGCUGCAGGUGGAUGGGGUUGACUUGCGACUAGCGGACCUGCACACAGCAACCUCCAUCCUCAACAAGACCUCCAACACAGUCAACCUGAUGGUCUCCCGACUCCAGUGAUCUUCGUCGUUGUCAAAUAUUUUUAUUUAUGUAGCAGAAUUUCAAUAACUAGCAAGUUGCAGCAGUUGAGAGAGAGUUCUAGGGGAUAGUAGUCUUUAUGGUGAACUUACUGUAUAUUUUGACAAUGUUUGAGAUUGUCAAAUAAAGAGUUAACACUUUAGCAAUCCUCUCUCAUUUUUUUCUAAUAUCUUCUUGUUUUCACUUGUGUUUUACUUCCUGCUACCAACCACAGAAUUCUCCUUUUGGGUUCAUUAAAUACAUUGAUGCAAAAAGACAGAACUAGAGGUGUUAGUGGAUGCAUUUAUUAUAAUAUACCUCAAUAGAAAAUCUGCAUAGAUGUGUCAUCAUCCAUUUAACAAGGCAUUGGUUUUGAUUGAAUAAGUCUUCUGUAACAAGAAGUAGAGUUUAGGAGAUACUUGUCUUUUGACUGAUUAAGAAGUGCCUUGUGACUACAAGUGCCCCAAGUAGUCACAAAUUAAACAGUACAAAGGAAAGUUGUGCAAAUUUCAUGUGUUAAAUCUGCAGAUGAAGUAUUAUAGUUCUACAAGCAUUGUGAAGCUCUAGCUAACAAAAAGAUGAACUACUUUUACAAUAUAUACCCAUGCUAAUUUUUCUUUUGUUAAUUAAAAAAUGUAAUGAUGCUAAUGUCACAGAUAACCUUAGCUGAAACCAUUUCAUCUUUUAUUGCUAAUGUACUUUAUAUUUGUUUGAUGUAUUAUAUUAUAUCAUAGCAUAUUUGAUGUAGUCAUCAAGCAUAGACUAAGACAAAUUCUGUUCACAGAAAUUAUUAGUUUUUUUUAUUUAAAUAGCCAAGUAAUGCUUCAGAGGUUCUUUCUGUCAGUAGAUCAUUUAAAAAUUGUUUUAAUUUUUCAUAUACAAAUUUUUAUUUAUUUUGCUGGCUAUUUAGGCCCUAACUGCAAUAACAGUGUAAUUGAAAAACUCUUUCAUUCUUGCCCAUUCAUGAUGACAUAACUUUGUAGCUACUACAUAUUAAUUGUUGUUUAAUGUCUGUCUUGCACUCUUUCUGUAUGUGGAAGGAAGUUUAACAUAAAUAUUAUGGUAAUGAUAAGUACACCAGAUAUGUGUUGCUUUUCAUCACAUUCACACUUUAAAACUCUGUGAAGAAAAUUUGCUUUGCUUUUGUGCUCCUGCUUAGCAAUGAGUUUGAUAUACAAACAAACAAAUUGGAAAAACUUAUUUAUUACGAUGAACAGUUGGAAUGACGGUGCCUUUUUAUGAGUGAAAAAAGUGCAAAAUAUAUCUAUAUAUCACUUAGCAUUAUGUGGUAAUUUACACUGAAAAUGUAUAUUUUUUCCUGAAAUCAUUGUAGAAUCAUAGAUAGACAUACAAUUCAUGUUUAGAACCUGAGUAAUAUUUAGGCAUCUACAUAUUUUCAAUGGUGCAUAUUUCGAGCAAGACCCUAUUGGUAAUGAAAGUUGUUUUUAUCUUGCAUGAAAAUUGUUGUCCUGAUGCUUUAUUACUGUCAACAGUGCAGCUGUAUAGUCACUUUUUUGCCCUUUAUUUUAUGAAAUACUCAGACGAUGCAAGCAUCCACAUUGCUUGAAGAUGUAUUUUUAGAAGGAAUUUUUUACCCUUUGAUAUUCCCUGUCUUGUUCACUCAUUUCUGCCAUGGAGAACCACUGACAUAUUAUGUCUGCUAUUAAGUUAUUAACUUGGUGCAGGAAAAGGAUGUUUGUGCUUUUGUUUAAAAAAUAGGUCAACUGUAAUGUAAAUAUAAAGUUUGUGUAUUCUGAAAAUCUAUUGAGUAAUUGCACAAUUAUUUGAAGUACUUGCUGUAUGAGGAUUGCAUAGUGUACUUAAAUAUUUUCCAUGAAAAUAUAUGAUGAUGAAAUAUCUCCAUAAGUUAAUUUGCAUAAAAUUUCUAAGAUUUGUUUUUUGUAUUGAGACUAUAGAAGUAUGUGAAUGGAAUUGGUAGAUUUAUCACUGAUAGCUUUAUGUAUGUUAAUGCCUAGCUAUACGCCUUGGAAAUAGGCAGCUGCACGCUCUAUUCCCAGCAGACUGUCUCUUGUGCAAGAGAUGCAUGAUUAUACAAUUUCAUUUUUUGUACAAUGCUUUUUAAUUCCAGAUAAGAGCUUUAGUCACUAAGUUUAAGUGCCAGAAAGUGUGGUGCUCAAGUGCUGGUAGACUCAAGAAUGUCUAUUAAAGAUAAAGAGGUUGUACUAUCCCUACAGAGGAAUCUUGUAGAUCAUUUUUAAGUUGAAGUAAUUUCUCUUUUGUAAAUUAUAUAUUUUGUCAGUAGUGAAAUCAGUGUAGAUGCAUGUGAUGCUUUAUGAUAUUUUGCAUUAUCUAUAUAACUUCUGUAGCUGGCCAGACACCUUUGUAAUAUAGAGAUAGUUGUGAUUAUCAGCUUUCAGUGAGCUCCACAACAGGCUAGAAUUAGUUUUUAUUUUAGUACAUUCCUAAUAGAUAUAUAUUAUCCAGUGAUUAUGACCUCUAUACUUAAAAAGGUUGCAGUUGUAUAUUUGAAUUUUAGCAAAACGAAAAUACUUUUUAUUUUUAUUUGAAUAACUUUUUAUUAAGUAAAGUGCAUAAGCCAUGUCUCUUACAAGGUACCUUGUUGGUGUAUGAUUUUUGUAAGUACUCAAGGGACCAGUAAUAGAGAAUAUAGUCCCGUGGCAGCUUUCUGCAUUGGUGAUAUAUUUUACAAUAAAAAACAGCUAAAAAUGCAAUAUUCCUUGCACAAUCAAAGCUUUGCAAUAUGAAAAUAAAUUUUACAAUAAAAAUAGCACAUGUUCAGACAAGAUACACCAACAAGAGUUAAGAGCUCUAGUGUGUAGUUUUCAGAAAGAUGUUGAUAGAAGAUGCCUCCACUUAUGAAAAGAAGCCAGGUCAAAUUAAAGCUGAUUUUAUGUGUUUGUUUUUGUUUUUGCACUCUUACAAAAAAUACAUUACAUAAUGUAUCACUCCUGAUGAUAAAUGGCUAAAAUUGUCACUAAUGAAACACUCAGUAUAGAUGUUAAAGUGUUUUCUCCACAUACACAAGCAGCAUUGAAAUUUCCAUUAAACUGGUUAAAAUGAUGUAGAAUAUGCAAGAACUACUGGAGAUAAAUCUUGCCAACUUUGUGGAAAGCAAAGAUUUUAGAAGAAUGUUUAGCUUUAGGACACAACACAGGAUCAAUAAUGUAAAUAGGAUUUGAAUUUCAAAUUUGUAUAUAUAAUGUAGAUAUAUUCACCCAACUUUUUCUGUUAUUACAUACAGAGUAUAAGUUUGAUAUAUGCUCACAAGACUGAAGUCAAAGAUGAAAUGUGGAUUUUUUUCUUCUCUUGUUAAUUUAUUUAUUUUGAUGAUUACAAUGAUUAUUGUGUUGAUAUUAAUUGUUUUAUAUGAUAAAUCCUGUCAGUACUUAAGAAUGGAAUUGAGAAGUAUUCCUUUUUUUCUUUUGGUUUGUUUUAAUGAUAUUUUUCUCUUAUCAUUUGUAAACAAAUAUUGGAAAGGUGAAUAGGCUUAUACAGAGGAAAUAUAACUUUAUACAGAUAGGUGCCAUAGCAUUCCAACAGUAUUUGCAUUGUAAAUUGAAGCCAGUUUAAAGGGAUAUCUACAGGAGCUGCAUCUUCGUAUUAAUCUCUUUAAUUAGAUGUCGUUAUGAAUUCCUGAACGAUGUAUAGGCCCCAAUGACAUUCUAUUUCUCUAAUUUGAUAAAUAAAAUUUUUCUCAUAUAA
RNAcentral lists this unclassified non-coding RNA (9244 nucleotides) under Penaeus japonicus. RNAcentral's name for it is "mucin-12-like, transcript variant X2". Lineage: Eukaryota; Metazoa; Arthropoda; Malacostraca; Decapoda; Penaeidae. The record is from RNAcentral.